RNAcentral lists this ribosomal RNA (113 nucleotides) under Nematostella vectensis (starlet sea anemone). RNAcentral's name for it is "Eukaryotic large subunit ribosomal RNA". It matches the Rfam family "Eukaryotic large subunit ribosomal RNA", at positions 2623 to 2740 of the family's 3401-position model. The record is from Rfam by way of RNAcentral. Lineage: Eukaryota; Metazoa; Cnidaria; Anthozoa; Actiniaria; Edwardsiidae.
GGCUGGGGCGGCACAUCUGUCAAACGAUAACGCAGGUGUCCUAAGGUGAGCUCAAUGAGAACAGAAAUCUCAAACACAGGACAGCCCCUAGUCUCCUUCGCAGCCCCCAGCGG